RNAcentral lists this ribosomal RNA (492 nucleotides) under uncultured bacterium. Its description in RNAcentral is "partial 16S ribosomal RNA". It matches the Rfam family "Bacterial small subunit ribosomal RNA", at positions 29 to 507 of the family's 1533-position model. The record is from RNAcentral.
AGUGAACGCUGGCGGUAGGCCUAACACAUGCAAGUCGAACGGCAGCACAGUAAGAGCUUGCUCUUACGGGUGGCGAGUGGCGGACGGGUGAGGCAUACAUCGGAAUCUACUUUUUCGUGGGGGAUAACGUAGGGAAGCUUACGCUAAUACCGCAUACGACCUACGGGUGAAAGCAGGGGAUCUUCGGACCUUGCGCGAUUGAAUGAGACGAUGUCGGAUUAGCUAGUUGGCGGGGUAAAGGCCCACCAAGGCGACGAUCCGUAGCUGGUCUGAGAGGAUGAUCAGCCACACUGGGACUGAGACACGGUCCAGACUCCUACGGGAGGCAGCAGUGGGGAAUAUUGGACAAUGGGCGCAAGCCUGAUCCAGCCAUACCGCGUGGGUGAAGAAGGCCUUCGGGUUGUAAAGCCCUUUUGUUGGGAAAGAAAAGCAGCAGGUUAAUACCCCGCUGUUCUGACGGUACCCAAAGAAUAAGCACCGGCUAACUUCGUG